GUUCAUGGUUUAAAUGGCC
RNAcentral lists this small nuclear RNA (19 nucleotides) under Arabidopsis thaliana (thale cress). RNAcentral's name for it is "snRNA_11931". The record is from RNAcentral. Lineage: Eukaryota; Viridiplantae; Streptophyta; Magnoliopsida; Brassicales; Brassicaceae.